RNAcentral lists this ribosomal RNA (253 nucleotides) under uncultured bacterium. RNAcentral's name for it is "partial 16S ribosomal RNA". It matches the Rfam family "Bacterial small subunit ribosomal RNA", at positions 524 to 776 of the family's 1533-position model. The record is from RNAcentral.
UACAGAGGGUGCAAGCGUUGUUCGGAAUUAUUGGGCGUAAAGCGCGUGUAGGCGGCUUGGCAAGUCGGGUGUGAAAUCCCUCAGCUCAACUGAGGAAGUGCGCCCGAAACUGCUGUGCUUGAGUACUGGAGAGGGUGGCGGAAUUCCCCAUGUAGAGGUGAAAUUCGUAGAUAUGGGGAGGAACACCGGUGGCGAAGGCGGCCACCUGGCCAGAUACUGACGCUGAGACGCGAAAGCGUGGGUAGCAAACAGG